UGGCAGCGGCAAACCCUGGCGGUUCUCCGGGUUCGUGGCAACCACGGAUGGGAAAAUGUGGAGGUUGCACGGCUGAUGUUUACUGUUCGUGGCACAGGAAGAGGCAGUUUCAUUUCAGGAAUGAGUGUGCACAAUCAAAGAAUAGAGCGACUGUGGAGAGACCUCUGGGUGGCCGUUACAUGCAUUUACUACGAUGUUCUUCACAACCUUGAGGAAGAGGGCCUUCUUGACAUUUCAAAUGCUGCACACCUCUUUUGCUGCCAUUACGUCUUUCUUCCUCGACUGGAGGAUGAUUUUAAUACAUUUUGCAGUGGAUGGGACAACCAUCCACUGCGAACAGAAAACA
Pelmatolapia mariae (spotted tilapia) is the source of this 346-nucleotide long non-coding RNA. RefSeq lists it as uncharacterized. The transcript is spliced from 3 exons. Lineage: Eukaryota; Metazoa; Chordata; Actinopteri; Cichliformes; Cichlidae. The record is from RefSeq and is a predicted model, not a curated record.